UCGUUAACGAACGAGACCUUGACCUGCUAAAUAGCCCAACUCACUUUUGUGGGUUGCUGGCUUCUUAGAGGGACUUUUGGCUCAAGCCAAUGGAAGUACGAGGCAAAAACAGGUCUGUGAUACCCUUAGAUGUUCUGGGCCGCACGCGCGCUACACUGACAAAUUCAUCGAGUUUACAACCUUGACUGACAGGUCUGGGUAAUCUUUUUAACAUUUGUCGUGCUGGGGAUAGAUUAUUGUAAUUAUUAAUCUUCAACGAGGAAUUCCUAGUAAACGCAAGUCAUCAACUUGCAUUGAUUACGUCCCUGCCCUUUGUACACACCGCCCGUCGCUAAUACCGAUUGAAUGGCUAU
RNAcentral lists this ribosomal RNA (353 nucleotides) under Eukaryota sp. RNAcentral's name for it is "SSU rRNA". It matches the Rfam family "Eukaryotic small subunit ribosomal RNA", at positions 1325 to 1700 of the family's 1831-position model. The record is from RNAcentral.